UCCCUGGUAGCUCAGUUGGUUAGAGCGGCGGACUGUUAAUCCGUAGGUCGAAGGUUCGAGUCCUUCCCGGGGAG
Molecule: transfer RNA, 74 nt
Filed under: Planctomycetaceae bacterium
Lineage: Bacteria; Pseudomonadati; Planctomycetota; Planctomycetia; Planctomycetales; Planctomycetaceae
Description: tRNA-Asn
Rfam family: tRNA
About the family: Transfer RNA (tRNA) molecules are approximately 80 nucleotides in length. Their secondary structure includes four short double-helical elements and three loops (D, anti-codon, and T loops).
Source: RNAcentral